CCUUCAACGGGUAACGGGGAAUAAGGGUUCGAUUCCGGAGAGGGAGCCUGAGAAACGGCUACCACAUCCAAGGAAGGCAGCAGGCGCGCAAAUUACCCAAUCCCGACACGGGGAGGUAGUGACAAUACAUAACGAUACAGGGCCCUUUCGGGUCUUGUAAUUGGAAUGAGUACAAUGUAAAUACCUUAACGAGGAACAAUUGGAGGGCAAGUCUGGUGCCAGCAGCCGCGGUAAUUCCANCUCCAAUAGCGUAUAUUAAAGUUGUUGCANUUAAAAAGCUCGUAGUUGAACUUUGGGCUUGGUUGGCCGGNCCGCCUUUUUGGCGAGUACUGGACCCAACCGAGCCUUUCCUUCUGGCUAACCAUUUGCCCUUGUGGUGUUUGGCGAACCAGGACUUUUACUUUGAAAAAAUUAGAGUGUUCAAAGCAGGNCUUUGCUCGAAUAUAUUAGCAUGGAAUAAUAGAAUAGGACGUUAUGGUUCUAUUUUGUUGGNUUCUAGGACCAUCGUAAUGAUUAAUAGGGACGGNCGGGGGCAUCAGUAUUCANNNGUCAGAGGUGAAAUUUCUUAGAUUUACUGAAGACU
Molecule: ribosomal RNA, 583 nt
Filed under: uncultured fungus
Lineage: Eukaryota; Fungi
Description: SSU rRNA
Rfam family: Eukaryotic small subunit ribosomal RNA
Source: RNAcentral